GGGUAAUAAAAGCCUGUCAGGUCUGUCAAUUGGUUAAUGCUUACCCUUCCAAACUUCCUGCAGGAAAGCACCUAUGAGGAACCAGACAAGGACAAUUCAGGGAAGUGGACUUUACUGAAAUUAAGCCAGCCAAGUAUGGACUUAAAAAUCUCCUAGUCUUUGUAGAUACAUUUUCAGGAUGGAUUGAAGCCUUUCCCACAAAAUUAAAAAAAAAAACAAUGGUGCAAAUGGUGGUCAAGAAUAUCCUGAAAGAUAUUUUUCCAAGAUACGGCCUGCCUAAGGUAAUAGGGUCUGAUAAUGGACCAGCGUUCAUGGCCCAGGUAAGUCAGGGGUUAGUCAGGACCCUGGGGAUUAAUUGGAAGUUACAUUGUGCUUAUAGACCCCAGAGUUCAGGACAGGUAAAAAAAUAA
This 410-nucleotide long non-coding RNA is filed under the name Marmota monax (woodchuck). The record is from RNAcentral. Lineage: Eukaryota; Metazoa; Chordata; Mammalia; Rodentia; Sciuridae.